CGGAGCGGGGACGCGGGGAGCCCGCGGGCCGCGGACGCCUGUUGGCGCGUCCCGCCCCGGGCAUCGGCAGGGCCCUUGCAGCAGCCCCCGGGAGGUGGCGGGAGGGAGGGUAAGCCGGGGUGCGGCGGCGAGGGCUGGGUGCGGGGUCUUCCCCAGACUCUCCGGAACCCCGCUGGGCUUCCGAGGCGCCCCGAAAGACUUUCCUCAGAGGAGGCUGCCGGCCGCUGCUUCUCCUGCCCACUUCGCUCCCGUCCCCGCGCGGGGCACCCUCGUGCCGUGCACCCUCCGUGGCGCCCCCCCGGGGACUGGGUUGCAAGUCUGGGGCGAAUCAUCUUUUCACAAAACCAGAAUUCCUUGCUGCCUUGGUUUUGUGCCUUCGAUCCCCUCUGUGCGCCCCCAGCUCGGCUGCAGCGCCGACCCUCGGAGCGGGCAGAGCCCUUCAGGGCCCCGCGGGCCGCAGCACCCCGCGCGCUGCUCCUGGCGCACGGAGUGGGUCCACCGUGCAGGGACCAUUCUGAUCCCCCACCGGCAGGCAGUUCAGACACCCGACCCCGCAGCCCAGCCCAACCGGAGCCAAAACAGCUCUCUCAUUCCUCUGCAUCCUGUAAAUCCACAAGAUGGCCCUUCCUCUUCACCAAGGCAGUCCCCAGUUCCGAGUCCAGAGGGACUACAGAGAUAUGCAGAAUUGCAGACUGUCCAUACACUGAAGUCCUCAUCGGCCCUUAGGUCCCUCCCAAGAUUCAGCCUGGCCGCACAGCUCACCUGCUAAGUGACAGGAUCAGGCUCCCUAACCUCUUUGAGCCUCAGUCUUCUCGUCCACAAAAUGAAGGUAAUGAUACAUAGGGGAAAAGAGUGAUACAGGCCAGGCGUAGUGGUGCAUGCCUGUAAUCCUAGCACUCAGGAAGCAGAGGCAGGACGGUUGCUGGGAGUUCAAGACCAGCCUGGGCUACAUAGUGAACUCAAGGCCAGCCUGAACUAUACAGUGAGACCCUGUCUCAAAAAAGAAAAAGUAAUAAGAAUUACACGUGAGGCUAGGGAUAUAGCUCAGUGGCUUAAGCACCUGCCUGGCAAGUACGAGGUUGUGAGUUUGAUUCCCAGUACCGGAAAAAAAAAAAAUAAAAAAAAUAAAAAUGGAACCAACCACAGAGAGGUAACAUGAAGCAUCCAAAAUUCAUUGAAAAAUUGGGACCCUUACCUGACUAACCCUAGGUUGAAGACAGAUUUCUCCAUCACUUUGCAGUGCGUGACGAUAUGUCCAGGAACUCUGAACACCUUGUUUGCCUCAAAGCUUUGGAAAUCAAGAUACUGGGUGGGCACUAUUCUUCCAUGCAGCUUACUUAGCAACACUACUUUAAAAAGCCCUUACUAAGGGGCUGGGGAUUUAGCUCAGCGGCAAAAGCACUUGCCUGGCAAGCGCAAGGUCGUGAGUUCGGUUCCUGGUACCGGAGAAAAAAACAAAAAAAAAACAAAAAAACCAAACAAAAAAAAUAAAAAGCCCUUACUCUGCGGUUAAUUUGUAUUUGCACCUAUUUGUGUUUGCGUCAGUUUCGGAGCCUCUACAGAAUUAGUAGAUGCUGUUAUUAGAAGGCAGCUUUUUGUGUAGCCUGGCACAGUGGUGCACAUUUAUAAUCCCAGCUACGCAGCUGAGGCAGGAGGAUCUCAGGUUCAAGGCCAGCCUGGGCAACUUAGUGAGACCCUGUUUCAAAACUGGAAAGGAUUGGAGAUGUAGCUCAGCACUGCCUAGGUUCAAUCUCAAGUACCACAGAAGAAAGAAUUCUAAUUUUAGUCAGGCAUGAUGUCGCAUACCUAUAGUCUGUGAGUUCAAGGCCAGCUGAAACUCCAUAGCAAGACCUUGUCUCAAAAACACAAAAAAAUGUUUUUCAAUGAGGGCUGGGGAAGUAGCUUAGUACAAAGGGCCUGGGUUCAAUCCCCAGUGCCAUAAUUAAAUAAAAAAAUGUAUAUUCGUGAUCCUAAAGCUGCUGCUCAUACAGGCUUCUAUAGAGCCAUUUCUUUUUCUUCUUUUAUUCUGUGACACAGAAACAGAAGUAUGUUGGUAAAAAAAAAAAUGAAUAAAUAAGUAUGACUUGUAAAAAAAAAGAAUUAUAUUGGUCACAAACUCAGAAGUACAUUCCUCUUUCUUUUUUAGAUAGGGUCUUGUUGUGUAGUUCAGGCUAGACUUGAACUCACUAUGUAACCCAGGCUAUCCUCCUGCCUCAGCCUCCCAAGCUACAUUAUUCCUUCUUUAUAUUAAAAAGAAAAAGGAUGAAUGAUGAGAUUUAUGAAAGAAUUCAUAAAAUACAUUUAGGGACAGUUGUUUCUUGGUCAAGUGAAUGGGAAAUUUAAGAUAUAUAUGAAACUUAGCUGUUCUUGAUUACUAUAAGCCUUUGCCUUUUUUAAAAAACAUGUACAAGGGUUUUGUUGUGUUUUGUUUUGUUUUGAGACAUGGUCUCACUAUAUAGUUAAGGCUGGCCUUGAGCUCAUGAUAGCCCAGGCCUCCAGAGGGCCGAGAUUACAGGUGUAUGCCACCACACCCAGCAGGGUUAUGCUUCUAAAAUUUUUUUUUUUUUUUUUUUUUAGGUUUUAAAAACUCGGCACAGACAGGCGUGGUGGCACACACCUGUGAUCUUAGCACCCAGGAGGCUGAGGCAGGAGGAUCCUUGCAAGUUCAAGACCAGCUUUGGCUACAAAGUGAGCUCAAGGCCAGCCUGAACUGCAGAGUGAGACCCUGUCUCAAAAAAGACAAAAAAACAAACAAAACAAAACACUCCCAGCACUUAUUCUCCUCCCAGACUACAUUUUUCUUUAGGCUAUUUUCUUUCCUUCUUUGGUCUUUUUCACCUUCGAGGCUGCACUGCUCUCUCUCUCUCUCUCUCUCUCUCUCUCUCUCUCUCUCUCUCUCUCUCUCUCUCUCUCUCUCUCUCUUACACACACACACACACACACACACACACACAAGCCUUCUUGGGCUUCUUGCUGUGUCCCCCACCGCUCCGUUGCACUAGGGCCUUGACACCUGCUGCUCCCUGCCUGGAACACUGUGUCCCAGAGCAGAUGUGGCUGGCUCCUUAUCAGUCAGGUCUCAGUUCAAAUGUCAUUUCCUCAGACAGGCUGUCCCUGACCACCCACUGCAGCAUAUCAACCUAUUUCUUUUUUUUUUUUCAUGCCUUUAACCCAGUUAAAUAAAUCUAACUUGGGGACAGAGGAAGAGAAGAUAAGAUGAUAAAAAUGAUCAAAGUGUGUUAUGUGCAUGUACAAAUCUGCUAAAAUAAAACCCACUAAUCUGUGGGUAGCCAAUUUUUUGGGGGGUAGCCAAUUUUUAAGGGUGGAAAAAUACAAACAAGUGUACAGAUGAAAAUGUAAAAAAAAAAAGGCCAGGCAUGGUGGUGCACACCUGUAAUCCCAACACUCAGGAGGCUGAGGCAGGAGGAUCGUUAUAAGUUCAAGACCAGCCUGGGCUACAAAGUGAGCUCAAACUGCAUAGCGACACCCUGUCUCAAAAAGACCAAAAAAAAGAAAAAAAUCUAGCAUGGAGCUGGCUGUAUCACUCAACAGCAAAGCAGUUGUUUUAUCAUGUGCAAGGCUAGGUUCAAUCCCCAGCACCACCACCAAAAAAAAUUGUCUAAACCCAUCAAACGUCCAGCAUGCAGAGUGAGCCCUGACAUGCACUGUGGACUCUGGGUGGUAAGGACGUCAGUGCGGGUUCCUCAGCUUCAGCCAGUGCACCCCCUCGGGCUCGGAGGGGCUGGGCAUGCGUGGGCCGGAAGUACACAGGAUAUCGCUGUGUCUUCAGUUUUGCUGCAAACCUAAAACCACUCUGAAAAAUAAAGUUAAUCAUCUUGCUCAUUUGCCUGUUACUUAUUUACCAUCUGUCUCCCGGCUAGACUGCUCACUUCCCUUGAAAGCCCCGACCCUGGGGCCAGUUCACAGCUGAUACCCGCUCCUAGAGCAGUGCCUGGCUCCUUAUCGAAGCUCAGUAACUAUUUGUUGAGAGAAGGAAUAAAUGAUUAUUAGUGUUGAUUUAGAUAUUGUUCUCUGAGCGCUGAACUGGCACUAUUCACAGAUACGUCAAGUGAGGCUAGAAUUGACCAACUGGGAAAAUUCAGGCUUUUUUAGAAAAACCACUUCAAUUUUGGCAUCUUGGUGGAGAUCUUGGCACUGCCUUCCCCUGCACCGGCAGUGUUUGCCAGCCUCCGGCACCGAAAAGCACUGCAGGAGCUCUGCUCGGUGAGCAGACCCCCAGCCCCGGUGGGUGAGGUCCCCUGUCACUCUACCCAACAGAUGAAUCCGGUCAGAAGAGUUCCCACAUCCGCCCCCGUGGUGUCCAGUCCGGAGCCGAAGGAGGAAGUUGAUGGGGAAGUGGCGGGGGAGGCCUCUCCAUCUUUGAAUACUUCAUAUGGGCAAACUGAAUUAUAUCCCAAGCUAUUACAUUUUUCAAAUCUGUCCAGAAGAAACUAGAUGUGCAUUCAGGAGGCCCACGCCUUGGCCCCGGAACUAUAGAAAAUACAGAAAGAAACAUGUACAAGGCUGUUGCCCUGGCGGUAGAUUGACAUCUCAGAAAACUAAGCACCUGCCUGGGUGCUCAGGACCCAGGGAAGACGCCUCCCAGCAAAGCCAGCCUUGAGCCCUGGCCAGAAGGAAGUGGGGGAGCCUGGCAGGAGAAGGGAGUUCCCUGCUCUGCCCCUUGUCCUAUCGCAGAGAGCCUGAGUGAGGGGUGUACGCAGGGAAAGUCGAAGGCAUUUUCAAAUUGAAAGCUUCCCACUGCAUCCUGUCCAUUCUGCACUGGAGAGCCGCCUUUACCAACGUUAAUGAACACAAAUGGACUAGUCUGGGAGCCAGCUUUCGAAAACACCUGCUGUUCUUGCCCUCUGCCCCUCUAACAAUCUAUUUCCAGUCCCGGGGCCCCCUCCCCCUGCCCCUGUGCCCAGUACUAUUAUUUCUGCCUAGGAGGAAAGAUUGGGGCCGGGGUUGACUGUAGCAAAACAUAUGGUAUUCCUGGAAAUGAUCUUUCCAUGGUAGGUGCAACCAAAAUAGCAUCGGCUCCAC
Long non-coding RNA from Chinchilla lanigera (long-tailed chinchilla), 5043 nucleotides. NCBI's taxonomy places the organism in Eukaryota, Metazoa, Chordata, Mammalia, Rodentia, Chinchillidae. The record is from Ensembl.